CACCUGCCACAAUAGAUAUUCAAACACUGUCACGUCUUCGGGGCGGAACAAGGAGGAGCAGGAGAACGGCGUAAUACUUUUGUAGAAUCUUUUAAUAAUCGAGUGAUAUAUGCGAAGCGCAACACUGCUCUUUGUAACACAGAGACAAUUACACACAUAGACAGGGGGAGCAGAGGGAACACAUAUACUGGGGGGAAUGAUGAGGAUGAGAACCAGGUGCGCUAAACAAGACACAGGUGAAAUGCAUGAUGAGAUGGACGGUGGUGUCAGAAGGCCGGUGACGUCGAACGCUGGAGUCUGUCUGCUGCAGGGGGAGCAGAGGGAACAUAUAUACUGGGGGGAAUGAUGAGGAUGAGAACCAGGUGCGCUAAACAAGACACAGGUGAAAUGCAUGAUGAGAUGGACGGUGGUGUCAGAAGGCCGGUGACGUCGAACGCUGGAGUCUGUCUGCUGCAGGGGGAGGUGAAGCAGCAGAGGGCACAGUUGUCACAAAUACAGUGGAUGUACUGGUGUAGCGUGGUGCUGCCGGGCCGGGGUGCAAGCUGUCCUUACAGGCCCCCCUCAGAUUACGAUGUGGUAUAUAUGCAUGUAAAGACGAUCCUGGUGAUGAGUUGGAGGAAACGGCCAAGGAAGAUGAAAAGAAAGAGAAGGACGGUAGCUCAACAUAUUGUUGUGACAAAGAAAAGAACAGUUAUCAUUUAAUGACCCUUUAAUCCGUGAUGUCACCAAGACGUCUCAAUAAGCACCUUUCCUCAAGCUUUGUUUUCUAUACAAACUCUUUGGAUGUUUCUGUUUGUGAUUGGUUGCCUCUUCCCACAGGACUCCCCACUCCUGGGUAGUUGUUAGGCUUCUUCUGGCGUUCACUCUGGUCCCUCCCCUCUCUUUUAAUCCUUGAAUCCUGAGGCCAGAUGACAGACACCUCAGAACCACAUGACCAAUUCAGAUUUUAUUGGCAAUUGUUGACUUCUCCAUCUUCUGCUGCACAUUACUGGAGUAGAGAACCAUUAGAUAGGCAUUCAAACACAGUGGAUGUUAUCAGAUGUGAUACCAGGUUGGUUCCUCACCAGAGUUGAAGGAAAUGGACGAGGUUGAUGAGGAGGAAGUACUGGAGAAUCUCCUUGGUCUGACUGUUGAGAUUAACUGAAUAUUAUAAUAACAUAAAGAAAUGUGCAUUUUCAUUCGUCGUCAUUUGAAUCUGUGAGGAUGCCAAGAUUCUCUAAAUACAUCUUUCUCAGUCUUUGUUUUCUAUACAACUUCUUUAAUAGGCACCAGUUAGCUUAAAUAGGCACCAGUUAGCUUAAUGGUUGUCACAUCUGACCAGUAACAAAAUGGUUGUUACAUCAAUGGAGUGGGCAAGGUAAAAAACAUCAGUUGUAAUCUUCCUGAGUAAGACUGUCAAGCCUGAAUGCUUAUGUAAUAUUGUUCUGGUGGGCUUAGUGAUGAGACUUCCUGAUUCGAGGGACUAUGUUGUUAAACUUCACUGGGUAAAGUUAUUAUGCUAUUUAAUGUGUAUUUUCCCUAAAGUGUAUUGACAGCCUCAGAAAGCACCUACAUUGAUUAAUCAUGUAAAUGGGUUUAGGUAGGGGACAACACCAUCAUGUUACCAUGGCAAUUGCUUCAUCAACACCAU
This is a long non-coding RNA of Esox lucius (northern pike), 1630 nucleotides long. NCBI's taxonomy places the organism in Eukaryota, Metazoa, Chordata, Actinopteri, Esociformes, Esocidae. The record is from Ensembl.